AUUGAACGCUGGCGGCAUGCUUUACACAUGCAAGUCGAACGGCAGCGCGGGCUUCGGCCUGGCGGCGAGUGGCGAACGGGUGAGUAAUACAUCGGAACGUGCCCAGUAGUGGGGGAUAGCUCGGCGAAAGCCGGGUUAAUACCGCAUACGACCUGAGGGUGAAAGCGGGGGAUCUUCGGACCUCGCGCUAUUGGAGCGGCCGAUGGCAGAUUAGCUAGUUGGUGGGGUAAAGGCCUACCAAGGCGACGAUCUGUAGCUGGUCUGAGAGGACGACCAGCCACACUGGGACUGAGACACGGCCCAGACUCCUACGGGAGGCAGCAGUGGGGAAUUUUGGACAAUGGGCGAAGGCCUGAUCCAGCAAUGCCGCGUGUGUGAUGAAGGCCUUCGGGUUGUAAAGCACUUUUGGCGGGAACGAAAAGGACUGUGCCAAUACCACGGUUCGAUGACGGUACCCGCAGAAUAAGCACCGGCUAACUACGUG
This 484-nucleotide ribosomal RNA is filed under the name uncultured bacterium. Its description in RNAcentral is "partial 16S ribosomal RNA". It matches the Rfam family "Bacterial small subunit ribosomal RNA", at positions 29 to 507 of the family's 1533-position model. The record is from RNAcentral.